UUAAUGGAGAGUUUGAUCCUGGCUCAGGACGAACGCUGGCGGCGUGCCUAAUACAUGCAAGUCGAGCGGGGUCAGUUAGAAGCUUGCUUCUA
RNAcentral lists this ribosomal RNA (92 nucleotides) under Paenibacillus sp. P2(2022). RNAcentral describes it as "partial 16S ribosomal RNA". It matches the Rfam family "Bacterial small subunit ribosomal RNA", at positions 1 to 88 of the family's 1533-position model. Lineage: Bacteria; Bacillati; Bacillota; Bacilli; Caryophanales; Paenibacillaceae. The record is from RNAcentral.